This 468-nucleotide ribosomal RNA is filed under the name uncultured bacterium. RNAcentral describes it as "partial 16S ribosomal RNA". It matches the Rfam family "Bacterial small subunit ribosomal RNA", at positions 28 to 507 of the family's 1533-position model. The record is from RNAcentral.
GACGAACGCUGGCGGCGUGCUUAACACAUGCAAGUCGAACGGAAAGGCCCUGCUUUUGUGGGGUGCUCGAGUGGCGAACGGGUGAGUAACACGUGAGUAACCUGCCCUUGACUUUGGGAUAACUUCAGGAAACUGGGGCUAAUACCGGAUAGGAGCUCCUGCUGCAUGGUGGGGGUUGGAAAGUUUCGGCGGUUGGGGAUGGACUCGCGGCUUAUCAGCUUGUUGGUGGGGUAGUGGCUUACCAAGGCUUUGACGGGUAGCCGGCCUGAGAGGGUGACCGGGCACAAUGGGACUGAGAUAGGGAGCAGAAUCCUACGGGAGGCAGCAGUGGGGAAUAUUGCGCAAUGGGCGGAAGCGUGAGGCGGCAACGCCGCGUGCGGGAUGACGGCCUUCGGGUUGUAAACCGAUUUCGACUGUGACGAAGCGUGAGUGACGGUAAUGGGUAAAGAAGCACCGGCUAACUACGUG